GCCCGGUUGUACUUGUAGAGUGUUGACAAACACAUAAACAAGCAAAACAAAAACCUUGAAAAUAAGCAUUGCAGAAAGGAGGAAGGACUACUCAGGAGGAAUUCAAGAAGGUGUACACUGACAGACAGGCAAACAGAAAAUAUUAUCAGUGGUGACGAAGGCUGGAGGAUAGAGGACUCAUCUCAAGAGCAGCCAACAACAAAAACAGCACCACUGCCAGCAUACAUCUUUCACCACAUCCUGUUCAGCAUUUGACUUCUCAACGCAUCAACUACAGGAGCUUAUCCAUUCAUUUCUGGAUGCCCUCAUGUCUUAGUUAUUCUGGUUAUCAUAUUCUACAAAGACAUGGCUUUCUCUGUUUCUGAAGCUACUCUUUUUUAAUAUACAGUAUAGUAAAUUACCAAAUAAU
Monopterus albus (swamp eel) is the source of this 409-nucleotide long non-coding RNA. RefSeq lists it as uncharacterized. The record is from RefSeq and is a predicted model, not a curated record. The transcript is spliced from 3 exons. Lineage: Eukaryota; Metazoa; Chordata; Actinopteri; Synbranchiformes; Synbranchidae.